UACGUAGGGCGCAAGCGUUGUCCGGAAUUAUUGGGCGUAAAGAGCUCGUAGGCGGUUUGUCGCGUCUGCUGUGAAAACCUAAGGCUCAACCUUGGGCUUGCAGUGGGUACGGGCAGACUAGAGUGCGGUAGGGGUGACUGGAAUUCCUGAUGUAGCGGUGAAAUGCGCAGAUAUCAGGAGGAACACCGGUGGCGAAGGCGGGUCUCUGGGCCGAUACUGACGCUGAGGAGCGAAAGCGUGGGGAGCGAACAGG
Molecule: ribosomal RNA, 253 nt
Filed under: uncultured bacterium
Lineage: Bacteria
Description: partial 16S ribosomal RNA
Rfam family: Bacterial small subunit ribosomal RNA
Source: RNAcentral